UUUUGAAGUCCAUUUCGAAAGUUUCCACUUCUGGGCUUUCUUUGGGCUGAGGCUUUAUUUCCAACAUUCUUGGUAUGAAGCCCAAACUGUUUGGAUCUUAAUUUUUGUUUUUCUCAAGUCUCUGGGCUGGGCAGGCAAUUUUAUCAUGAGCCUGCCUUCUGGUCUUGAGCGUGCCGAAUUUGGGCCCAAACAAUGCCCCCUAAGUCUGAAUUGUUUUGGAACGGUUCCAGACUUAAUGUUUUGCCAUUUAAUUCGCGCACCAGUUUCUU
This 269-nucleotide long non-coding RNA is filed under the name Prunus persica (peach). RNAcentral's name for it is "long non-coding RNA (PPER_LNC006246)". The record is from RNAcentral. Lineage: Eukaryota; Viridiplantae; Streptophyta; Magnoliopsida; Rosales; Rosaceae.